This 524-nucleotide ribosomal RNA is filed under the name uncultured Acidobacteriota bacterium. RNAcentral describes it as "bacterial SSU rRNA". It matches the Rfam family "Bacterial small subunit ribosomal RNA", at positions 355 to 897 of the family's 1533-position model. Lineage: Bacteria; Pseudomonadati; Acidobacteriota. The record is from RNAcentral.
UGGGGAAUCUUGCACAAUGGGGGAAACCCUGAUGCAGCGACGCCGCGUGAGCGAUGAAGCCCUUCGGGGUGUAAAGCUCUUUCGGCAGGGACGAUAAUGACGGUACCUGAAGAAGAAGCUGCGGCUAACUACGUGCCAGCAGCCGCGGUAAUACGUAGGCAGCGAGCGUUGUUCGGAGUUACUGGGCGUAAAGCGUGCGUAGGCGGUAGUCCAAGUCUGGUGUGAAAUCUCCCGGCUCAACCGGGAGGGUGCGCCGGAAACUGGGCUGCUGGAGUGCGGGAGGGGCAAGCGGAAUUCCAGGUGUAGCGGUGAAAUGCGUAGAUAUCUGGAGGAACACCCGUGGUGCAGACGGCUUGCUGGACCGUGACUGACGCUGAGGCACGAAAGCGUGGGUAGCAAACAGGAUUAGAUACCCUGGUAGUCCACGCCCUAAACGAUGCAUACCUGGUGUGGGCAGUUCAGUCUGUCCGUGCCGAAGUUAACGCGAUAAGUAUGCCGCCUGGGGAGUACGGUCGCAAGGCUGA